RNAcentral lists this unclassified non-coding RNA (210 nucleotides) under Hevea brasiliensis (rubber tree). The record is from RNAcentral. Lineage: Eukaryota; Viridiplantae; Streptophyta; Magnoliopsida; Malpighiales; Euphorbiaceae.
GACGAGAAGGUCGUGAAGGAAAGCCAGGUUAUUAUGCGGGCGAGGAGCCUGAGAGCCGCCGCGAAUCUCAUCCCGGCCAAGGCGUUCCGAUCUCGACGGGUUUAUUUCACUAACGAGGAGAACGGUCUACUUCAUGUUCCAAAAGGGCAGGCACAAAAUCCACAAGCGCAAAUGUUUUCAGAUCCGAACAUGGCUAUGGAUAUGAUGAAG